This is a small nucleolar RNA of Episyrphus balteatus (marmalade hoverfly), 88 nucleotides long. RefSeq annotates it as small nucleolar RNA Me28S-Am2634. Lineage: Eukaryota; Metazoa; Arthropoda; Insecta; Diptera; Syrphidae. The transcript has a single exon. The record is from RefSeq and is a predicted model, not a curated record.
AAUUUAGUUAAAAUGAUGAUUUUUUAGUAGGAAUCUCAUUGAGCUGUUUACAGCUUUGAAAAUAACUUUACUAACUGAAUAGAAAAAU